AGACCUUCUAGAAAGGACGUCUUAUAGAGUUGUCUCUCUGCCACAACCCCCAUCUUUACCCCGAUCCCACUGUUAGCUGGCCCCUUGUGUUCAUAUCACAUCUCCGCUCUGGCGUCUCUUGGCAACGCAGCGCUUUCCAUUGUCCUGCUCCCAGAUCGCGGAAGCACUCGGGGUGUCUCCUGUUCCCUUGUGCCUUGAGUUGCUCUCUACUUUUUUUUUUCAAAGCCAUCUUAGUGGCACCUCUCUAUCUUCAUUGCCGUAGAAGGAUCACAGCGAUCGCCUCUACCCGUCUUGCGUGGGGCCUCUCCCCCUUUUUUUUUCCCUCCCGCCCCUUUGGAACACUGCGCAGCUUCGGUUUUCGGAGCAGCCACCACCGCGCGUGUUGGUGUGGAGCCACCGCUGCGCGGCUGCUGUUGUUGCUGGAGUUUCCCCCCUCUCUGGCGCCCUUCUGCCCCUGUAACAGAAGCGAGGGCUUUGAGCAUCAUGAACGGCAACGACGAGGAUAUCUACGCGGCGUUCCAGACGCCGGAUAUUGGGUCGAACCCAUGGACGACGAGCACGAACCCCUUCGAGGCCCCUGCGCAAGAGGCUAUGGGCGGCAACCCCCUCAUGCAGGCCCCUCCUUCGCAAUGGGGGCGCGCGGGCAUGGGCUCUGCCUGGGGUGUGCCGGGCAGCCGCAUGAAUACAAGGGGCUGUGGUAUCCCCGGCGCCGCGCGUCCCAUGACGUCUAACCGCGCUGUCGGCUUCAACAGCGCAAGCAACGGCGCCGCUGCCGUCCUCUUUGACCCCACCGGCCAGGCGCGCAUGGCGAACAUGGCGAUGGGCCCGGCCCCGCCGCUGAAGAAGCGGAGCGAGAACAGUCAGGAGGAGGAGCUGGCUGAGAUGGAGAAGCAGGUGAACAAGCUGAUUGAGGAGAGCGCCAUGCUGGCUCUGCAGAAGGACUACGGCGCGGCACUCGAGAAGGCCAAGGACGCCGGAAAGCUGGAGCGGUUACUCUGUAAAAAGCGCGAGCAGUACGGGCUCGCCGAGCAGAUCAACGUCGACCUUACCUACGCAGUGCACUUCAACUUGGCGGUUCAGUACCAAAACCACCAGCUGUACACUGAGGCCCUCAACACGUACAACCUCAUCAUUCGCAACGUGCAGUUUCCACAAGCCGGCCGCCUGCGGGUGAACAUGGGCAACAUUUAUCUUGCGCAGCAGAACUACCUCCUAGCCAUCAAGAUGUACCGCAAGGUGCUCGACGAGACACCGACCGCCGGAAAGGAGCUCCGCUAUCACCUCUGCCGCAAUAUCGCCAACGCGUUUGUGAAGCUGGGCCAGUACAGGGACGCCGCGAACAGCUACGAGACCGUGGUGGAGGGCAACGGCGAUGCCAACGCCACGUUUAACCUCAUUUUGUGCUACUACGCGCUGGGCGAGACGGAGAAGAUGAAACGGACCUUCACGCGCCUCAUGAAUUGCCGCCUCGCGGGCCUCGACGGCGAGGAGGACUUUGAGGAGGAGGAGAAGCGGAAAGACGUCUUGGUAGACGACAGCCUGAGCCGCAUGCGCAAGGAGCGCCGCGCCAGAUACCUCAAGUACAUCAUCACGGCAGCCCGCUUGAUUGCUCCAGUGCUGCACAAGGACUGGUGCGUCGGCUACGACUACAUCAUCUCUCAGCUGCGCACUUACGAGAUGCGCGACCCGACCUCGCACGUGGCGAGCGAGCUGGAGAUGUGCAAAAACCUGAACUACCUCAAGCACAAGCGCUAUCAGGAGGCGAUCAACGGCCUGAAGGAGUUUGAGAAGAAGGACAGGAGCCUGCGAGCACGGGCAGCCACGAACCUGGCGUACCUCUACUUCCUUGAGGGCGACUACGAGAACGGGGAGCAGUACAGCGACCUCAGUCUCGUCGCGAAUCAGUACAACGCCAAGGCACUGGUAAACAAAGGCAACUUCUCCUUUGUCAAGAAGGACUACGACAAGGCGAAGGAGCUGUACAAUAAAGCGCUGGCGGUGGAGGCCGACAACGUGGAGGCCAUCUAUAACCUUGGCUUGGCCGCCAAGAAGCUAGGGCUGUACGAGGAGGCGGUGCGCAUGUUCAAGCGCGUGCAGGCGCUCGUGGACAGUAGCGAGGUGCUGUAUCAGAUUGCCGACCUCAGCGACCUUGUCGGCGACCCGGCAGCGCUGGAGUGGUUUAACCGCCUCAUUGGCCGCGUUCCGACGGACCCGAACGCGCUGGCCCGCAUCGGCUCCCUCUACGCCCGCGACGGCGACGAUGUGCAGGCGUUUCACUACUAUCUGGAGGCCUACCGUUACUACCAGGUAAACAUGGACGUCAUCUCCUGGCUCGGCGCGUACUUCGUGAAGAACGAAGUCUACGAUAAGGCGGUGCAGUUCUUCGAGCGCGCUUCGCACAUCCAACCGCAGGAGGUGAAGUGGCAGCUGAUGGUGGCCUCGUGCCACCGCCGCCGCGGCGACUACGUGCAGGCGAAGCGGCUCUACGAGCAGGUGCACCGCAAGUAUCCCGAUAACAUCGAGUGUCUCAAUUACUUGGUGCAGCUCUGCAAGGACGCUGGCCUCAACGAGGAGGCCAACGAGUGGUUCAAGGCAACGAAAAAGGUGGAGCGGCAGCAGAUCCACAGCAGCAGCAGCAGCGUCGGCGGCGAGAGCGGCGACGACGACGUAGAAUCCUCCGUUGAGGGCGGGAACAACAUCAACGGCCACCAUCGCAGACGCACAAGCGGCACGGCCGCACCCGACGCGGCAGUGGCAGGCCGCCGCGCAGGUGGUGGUGCUGCGGCCGACAAAGACUUUUCCGUCGGCCUCUCCGACGACGACAUCGUUGACGGCAAAGCAAAUCAGAAUGGCGCCAAGAGGCCGAAGAAGGCGAAGAACAGCGACUCAGACGAUGAAAUCGACUUGCCCGGCAUUUAGCUAUAGAUCGGAGCGGGGCAGGCAAGCUCCGCGCCAUGAGGUGCCUCUAUUCUGCUUCUCCGCCUCACUGCCUGAUUGUUAUUGGCGUUCGGCGCCCAUGCUCCGUUCGUCUGCCGAGCUCGCUUCCCCCCUUCCCCGCUUCUACCUGUCCUCUCGUGUAUGCAACUGCCUCUGUCUUGCUCCUCGCCUUUCCCACUGUAGGAGUUGUGCUCGACGCAGCUGACUACUACUCCUUACCCCGCGCACUGACCAACAGAAGGUGGAGGGGCGAGAGGGAGAGACAGGGGCAUGACGUUGCCGCCUGAUGUAAAACUGAACCGACAGUUUCGUUUAUUUAUUCCUUUGGCUUCAUGUGGGCUCGCCCUCAGCAGGUGGGUGCCUCAAGGAAGCGCCAGCCUCUCCCGCUCUGGUACGCUGUGUGGUUCGUUUUUUUUUCUGUGCUUUUUUUUUGUUUGUGCUUUGGUUUUCCAUGUGGCUCCUCCUGUGCGUCGCUCAGAAACGUGUUGUCUCCAUGGAGAGUAUGUGACUGCGGAUCUUUCUUUUUUUUUUUGUUCGGGUUCCCUUGUGUGCGUGCGUAUGUGUGUGUGUGCCCUCCGUGUCUGUCUGUGUGUGUCUUCCUUCGUUCGCUUUUCACCUUCCCCCUCCCCUCACUGGUGAUGUAGUCUAUAUGAGAAAAGAAAGCAGCCUCCACCAACGCACACGCGCACCUAGACAGCUUAAUUUAGCGGCAUGGGGGAGGGAAAGGGGAGGGGAGAGGGGAGAGGAUGGGAGGGUAUCAUGGCAGACGCUUUAGCUCUCUUGCGUCACCCUCUUGUGCCCUUCCUCUGUUGCUCUUUGGGCGCCUUUUUUCCUGAUCUCCGUCCACUCCCUCCACCUUUUUCUCCUCAAGAGAUAUGUGAAUGUGUUCCUGUCAACGAGCGCAUGGUUAGAAGCUCCCCUGUUCUCCCCCUUUUUUCGUCGCUUUUUUUUGUUUUCUGUUCGAAACACGAAUGACAACAACAAUCACCACAUACAAACUCGCAACUGCACACAGGCAAGAAGGUGCGAUGCAUGCUGCUGCCUGAGUCUGUUCAACUCACCGUCUACCAUGCUUCUUGUGGGGUCGACAACGCUGACGAAGAAGGUGGGAGGAGGAGUAUCGGCGACGCGGUGACUGUCUUCUGCUCUCUCUCCCUCUUGUUCAAUCUGUCGUCGUCACCGAGAGCACCCAUCGGAGGUACGCGCGCAGUUUCGGUGCGUAUGCAGCUACAUCACCCCUCUUCCACCGCUUAACGCUUCACGGCGCCAUUCGAGUUUGUGUGCCUCUGCGCGCGUGCGUCAUCUCACCCGGCACAAACGGACGCCCACAAGCACGCACGCGGCUACACCUUCUGCUCUCACCCCCUCCCCUUCCUCCCCCUUUCCCCCCGUGCCGGGACCUGAGAAG
RNAcentral lists this unclassified non-coding RNA (4345 nucleotides) under Leishmania donovani. RNAcentral describes it as "gene:LdHU3.27.1630(CDS-product:intraflagellar_tra nsport_protein_88_putative)". Lineage: Eukaryota; Euglenozoa; Kinetoplastea; Trypanosomatida; Trypanosomatidae. The record is from RNAcentral.